This 228-nucleotide ribosomal RNA is filed under the name uncultured bacterium. Its description in RNAcentral is "partial 16S ribosomal RNA". It matches the Rfam family "Bacterial small subunit ribosomal RNA", at positions 568 to 795 of the family's 1533-position model. The record is from RNAcentral.
UACGUAGGCGGAAAAUUAAGUCAGUGGUGAAAUCCUGCAGCUUAACUGUAGAACUGUCAUUGAUACUGGUUUUCUUGAAUACAGUUGAGGUAGGCGGAAUGUGUAAUGUAGCGGUGAAAUGCUUAGAUAUUACACAGAACACCGAUUGCGAAGGCAGCUUACUAAACUGUUAUUGACGCUGAGGUACGAAAGCGUGGGGAGCGAACAGGAUUAGAUACCCUGGUAGUC